AUGUACAUGCCUACAAUGUUAACCCACCAGAUUCCAUCAAAACUUUGUAGUAAGCGCGCUUGAGAUAGAGUAGUAUUGGGAUGGGUGACCUCUUGUGAAGUACAAGUGUUUUACAUG
This is a non-coding RNA of Picea glauca (white spruce), 117 nucleotides long. Lineage: Eukaryota; Viridiplantae; Streptophyta; Pinopsida; Pinales; Pinaceae. The record is from Rfam.